GUGUUGGAAUACAGCGGCAUAGUGGUGAGACCCCCGUAUAUGGUGCGGACGCCCAGCGCUUUGUGAUACAUUUUCGAAGAGUCGAGUUGUUUGGGAAUGCAGCUCAAAUUGGGUGGUAAAUUCCAUCUAAAGCUAAAUAUUGGCGAGAGACCGAUAGCGAACAAGUACCGUGAGGGAAAGAUGAAAAGCACUUUGGAAAGAGAGUUAACAGUACGUGAAAUUGUUGGAAGGGAAACGCUUGAAGUCAGACUUGCUUGCCGAGCAAUCGGUUUGCAGGCCAGCAUCAGUUUUCCGGGAUGGAUAAUGGUAGAGAGAAGGUAGCAGUUUCGGCUGUGUUAUAGCUCUCUGCUGGAUACAUCUUGGGGGACUGAGGAACGCAGUGUGCCUUUGGCGGGGGUUUCGACCUCUUCACACUUAGGAUGCUGGUGGAAUGGGUUUAAACGACCCGU
This 449-nucleotide ribosomal RNA is filed under the name Rhodotorula mucilaginosa. RNAcentral's name for it is "eukaryotic LSU rRNA". It matches the Rfam family "Eukaryotic large subunit ribosomal RNA", at positions 187 to 652 of the family's 3401-position model. Lineage: Eukaryota; Fungi; Basidiomycota; Microbotryomycetes; Sporidiobolales; Sporidiobolaceae. The record is from RNAcentral.